CCUACGGGGUGCAGCAGUAGGGAAUCUCCCGCAAUGGACGAAAGUCUGACGGAGCAACGCCGCGUGAGUGAUGAAGGUUUCCGGAUCGUAAAGCUCUGUUGUUAGGGAAGAACAAGUGCAAGAGUAACUGCUUGCACCUUGACGGUACCUAACCAGAAAGCCACGGCUAACUACGUGCCAGCAGCCGCGGUAAUACGUAGGUGGCAAGCGUUGUCCGGAAUUAUUGGGCGUAAAGGGCUCGCAGGCGGUUUCUUAAGUCUGAUGUGAAAGCCCCCGGCUCAACCGGGGAGGGUCAUUGGAAACUGGGAAACUUGAGUGCAGAAGAGGAGAGUGGAAUUCCACGUGUAGCGGUGAGAUGCGUGGAGAUGUGGAGGAACACCAGUGGCGAAGGCGACUCUCUGGUCUGUAACUGACGCUGAGGAGCGAAAGCGUGGGGAGCGAACAGGAUUAGAUACCCUCGUAGUC
Molecule: ribosomal RNA, 465 nt
Filed under: uncultured bacterium
Lineage: Bacteria
Description: bacterial SSU rRNA
Rfam family: Bacterial small subunit ribosomal RNA
Source: RNAcentral